This 599-nucleotide ribosomal RNA is filed under the name Enterobacter cloacae. RNAcentral's name for it is "bacterial SSU rRNA". It matches the Rfam family "Bacterial small subunit ribosomal RNA", at positions 59 to 649 of the family's 1533-position model. Lineage: Bacteria; Pseudomonadati; Pseudomonadota; Gammaproteobacteria; Enterobacterales; Enterobacteriaceae. The record is from RNAcentral.
CAGUCGAACGGUAGCACAGAGAGCUUGCUCUCGGGUGACGAGUGGCGGACGGGUGAGUAAUGUCUGGGAAACUGCCUGAUGGAGGGGGAUAACUACUGGAAACGGUAGCUAAUACCGCAUAACGUCGCAAGACCAAAGAGGGGGACCUUCGGGCCUCUUGCCAUCAGAUGUGCCCAGAUGGGAUUAGCUAGUAGGUGGGGUAACGGCUCACCUAGGCGACGAUCCCUAGCUGGUCUGAGAGGAUGACCAGCCACACUGGAACUGAGACACGGUCCAGACUCCUACGGGAGGCAGCAGUGGGGAAUAUUGCACAAUGGGCGCAAGCCUGAUGCAGCCAUGCCGCGUGUAUGAAGAAGGCCUUCGGGUUGUAAAGUACUUUCAGCGGGGAGGAAGGUGUUGUGGUUAAUAACCCCAGCAAUUGACGUUACCCGCAGAAGAAGCACCGGCUAACUCCGUGCCAGCAGCCGCGGUAAUACGGAGGGUGCAAGCGUUAAUCGGAAUUACUGGGCGUAAAGCGCACGCAGGCGGUCUGUCAAGUCGGAUGUGAAAUCCCCGGGCUCAACCUGGGAACUGCAUUCGAAACUGGCAGGCUGGAGUCU